AGUGAACGCUGGCGGUAGGCCUAACACAUGCAAGUCGAACGGCAGCACAGUAAGAGCUUGCUCUUACGGGUGGCGAGUGGCGGACGGGUGAGGAAUACAUCGGAAUCUACUUUUUCGUGGGGGAUAACGUAGGGAAACUUACGCUAAUACCGCAUACGACCUACGGGUGAAAGCAGGGGAUCUUCGGACCUUGCGCGAUUGAAAUGGCCGAUGUCGGAUUAGCUAGUUGGCGGGGUAAAGGCCCACCAAGGCGACGAUCCGUAGCUGGUCUGAGAGGAUGAUCAGCCACACUGGAACUGAGACACGGUCCAGACUCCUACGGGAGGCAGCAGUGGGGAAUAUUGGACAAUGGGCGCAAGCCUGAUCCAGCCAUACCGCGUGGGUGAAGAAGGCCUUCGGGUUGUAAAGCCCUUUUGUUGGGAAAGAAAAGCAGCAGGUUAAUACCCCGCUGUUCUGACGGUACCCAAAGAAUAAGCACCGGCUAACUUCGUG
This 492-nucleotide ribosomal RNA is filed under the name uncultured bacterium. Its description in RNAcentral is "partial 16S ribosomal RNA". It matches the Rfam family "Bacterial small subunit ribosomal RNA", at positions 29 to 507 of the family's 1533-position model. The record is from RNAcentral.